Molecule: ribosomal RNA, 468 nt
Filed under: uncultured bacterium
Lineage: Bacteria
Description: partial 16S ribosomal RNA
Rfam family: Bacterial small subunit ribosomal RNA
Source: RNAcentral
GACGAACGCUGUCGGCGUGCUUAACACAUGUAAGUCUAACGUUGAAAGUAGAGCUUGCUCUUCUGGAUCAGUGGCGAACGGGUGCGUAACACGUGAGUAACCUUCCCCAGCCUCUGGAAUAAUCGCUGGAAACGGCGUCUAAUACCGGUUACGAGACAGCGCUGCAUUGCUACUGUCUGGAAAGUUUUUCGGUCUGGGAUGGACUCGCGGCCUAUCAGAUUGUUGGUGAGGUAACGGCUCACCAAGGCAACGGCGGGUAGCCGGCCUGAGAGGGCGACCGGCCACACGGGGACUGAGACACGGCACAGACACCAACGGGGGGUAGAAGUGGGGAAUAUUGCACAAGGGGCGAAAGCCUGAUGCAGCGACGCCGCGUGAGGGAUGACGGCCUUCGGGUUGUAAACCUCUUUCAGCAGGGAAGAAGCGAAAGUGACGGUACCUGCAGAAGAAGCACCGGCUAACUACGUG